RNAcentral lists this transfer RNA (68 nucleotides) under Stegodyphus mimosarum. It matches the Rfam family "tRNA". From Rfam's summary of the family: Transfer RNA (tRNA) molecules are approximately 80 nucleotides in length. Their secondary structure includes four short double-helical elements and three loops (D, anti-codon, and T loops). The record is from Rfam by way of RNAcentral. Lineage: Eukaryota; Metazoa; Arthropoda; Arachnida; Araneae; Eresidae.
UCCUUUGUGGUGUAACGGUAACACACUCGGCGCAUAUUCGAGAGGUCCAGGUUCGAGUCCCGGAGGAG